AGAGUUUGAUCAUGGCUCAGGAUGAACGCUAGCGGCAGGCUUAACACAUGCAAGUCGAGGGGUAACAGAGGUAGCAAUACCUGCUGACGACCGGCGAACGGGUGAGUAACGCGUAUGCAACCUUCCUCGAACUGGGGGAUAGCCCGAAGAAAUUCGGAUUAAUACCCCAUAGUAUCCGGUAAUCGCAUGGUUUUCGGAUUAAAGCUCCGGCGGUUUGAGAUGGGCAUGCGUGACAUUAGCUUGUUGGUGAGGUAACGGCUCACCAAGGCAACGAUGUCUAGGGGGUCUGAGAGGAUGAUCCCCCACACUGGUACUGAGACACGGACCAGACUCCUACGGGAGGCAGCAGUGAGGAAUAUUGGGCAAUGGACGCAAGUCUGACCCAGCCAUGCCGCGUGCAGGAUGACGGCCCUAUGGGUUGUAAACUGCUUUUGUAUGGGAAGAAACCCCCGGACGUGUCCGGGGUUGACGGUACCGUACGAAUACUUUCCUACAUCGGUCGUUACCGGCGGACGCUCCACGAUGUACCAACAGCAGUCGAGCACGGCACUCCACAGUCCAAUUCAGGAUAUUGCUCGCGUUGGGGAUAAGUAUCAACGGUCGUAUAAUGCUACCCCUGAGAUACUUUUGACGGACGCGUUCGUCACUCCUUCCACCCCUACUGCAGUUUAGUCGUGCCGGGAAUACAGGACCCGAUGUGUGCACGAUGUUACCGGCCAUGUUUUCCGGCGUUGAUGCGUUCAUCUUCGAUUAGGGAUUUUGGCCAGAGUCAAGCCUAACCUCAGACGUUGGGCUGAGGUACUUCGGCCUAAGCGAUCAUUAGCGUGUAGUCGGUACCGCGCCACUUAUGCAAGGGCCCGGAACAUGUGUGGCGGGCAGUUCGGUACCUUCGACCUCCAUGGACUUCAGGCAUUGGGAAUUCCUCGCCGGAUUCCAUUUGAGUCACUGACCCCGAGCGAGGAACCUUACCUGGGCUUAAAUGCAGAACGACAGACUGGGAAACUGGUCUUUCUUCGGACGGUCUGCAAGGUGCUGCAUGGUUGUCGUCAGCUCGUGCCGUGAGGUGUCGGGUUAAGUCCCAUAACGAGCGCAACCCCUAUUCUUAGUUGCCAGCGGGUAAUGCCGGGGACUCUAAGAAAACUGCCAGCGUAAGCUGUGAGGAAGGUGGGGAUGACGUCAAAUCAGCACGGCCCUUAUGUCCAGGGCUACACACGUGUUACAAUGGCCGGUACAAAGGGCAGCUACCACGCGAGUGGAUGCUAAUCUCGAAAACCGGUCUCAGUUCGGAUCGAAGUCUGCAAUUCGACUUCGUGAAGUUGGAUUCGCUAGUAAUCGCGCAUCAGCCACGGCGCGGUGAAUACGUUCCCGGGUCUUGUACACACCGCCCGUCAAGCCAUGGAAGCUGGGGGUGCCUGAAGUCCGUAACCGCAAGGAGCGGCCUAGGUAAAACCAGUGACUGG
This 1460-nucleotide ribosomal RNA is filed under the name uncultured bacterium. RNAcentral describes it as "partial 16S ribosomal RNA". It matches the Rfam family "Bacterial small subunit ribosomal RNA". The record is from RNAcentral.